Molecule: ribosomal RNA, 497 nt
Filed under: uncultured bacterium
Lineage: Bacteria
Description: partial 16S ribosomal RNA
Rfam family: Bacterial small subunit ribosomal RNA
Source: RNAcentral
GACGAACGCUGGCGGCGUGCCUAAUACAUGCAAGUAGAACGCUGAAGAGAGGAGCUUGCUCUUCUUGGAUGAGUUGCGCACGGGUGAGUAACGCGUAGGUAACCUGCCUUGUAGCGGGGGAUAACUAUUGGAAACGAUAGCUAAUACCGCAUAACAAUAGGUGACACAUGUCAUUUAUUUGAAAGGGGCAAUUGCUCCACUACAAGAUGGACCUGCGUUGUAUUAGCUAGUAGGUGAGGUAACGGCUCACCUAGGCGACGAUACAUAGCCGACCUGAGAGGGUGAGCGGCCAAACUGGGACUGAGACACGGCACAGACUCCUACGGGAGGCAGCAGUAGGGAACCUUCGGCAAUGGGGGCAACCCUGACCGAGCAACGCCGCGUGAGGGAAGAAGGGUGUCGGAUCGUAAAGCUCUGUUGUAAGUCAAGAACGAGUGUGAGAGUGGAAAGUUCACACUGUGACGGUAGCUUACCAGAAAGGGACGGCUAACUACGUG